Long non-coding RNA from Vicia villosa (hairy vetch), 1500 nucleotides. RefSeq lists it as uncharacterized. The record is from RefSeq and is a predicted model, not a curated record. Lineage: Eukaryota; Viridiplantae; Streptophyta; Magnoliopsida; Fabales; Fabaceae. The transcript has 6 exons.
GAGUCGAAGCAAGAAAAUCCAAACAAUGAGCUUCCGAUUCUUUAGAUUCUUGAGAAUUGGAAUCAUGUCGCGUUGAUGAUGGUGUGAGGGUUGAAGGCUGGUGGAUGAAUGAAGAUGCUUUGUGGUGAAGAUUCAAGGUUGUUGAGUGGUGGUUGAUGAUGAUGGUCAAGAUAUGCGCAAAUGAUGAAUGGAGGUUAUAAGAAAAAUGGUGGAGAAUCGAGAGUGCUGAAGUGUGUGAAGUUUGGGAUGACGAUGAAUCGAGAGAAGUCGGGGAGCUUCAGAAUUCUAUCACGUGCGGAGGGGUGAAGGUUGCUGGUGAUGGUGAAGUGUGAAGAAUGAAGGAGAUGAGAAGAAGAUGAGAGUAAGAUGAUGAAGAAUGGUGGGUGUUUGAACUUUUAACUAUGCACUUCUUCUUUCAAUGUUUGCAAGCGAAACGAUGAGGAAGCUUGUGCUUGUGCCUUUUCUAGAUGUGUGAAGCUGCCUUUUUAUAUGAGCAAUGAUUGGGUUUCUUGGUGGUACAAACAAAUAUGGCAGUGCUGUAGAUAACCUGGAGCUGUGACUGAAAUACAAUGUGGAUGGAGGACCGAAACUUAUUGGCCAUGAUCAUGAGGUAUGGAAUACACACGGGACCGGCUUUCUUUGUGAAGUUGAGUUCUGUUAGGAGAAUGAAUUAGUUAUAGGUUUGCAAUUCUGUUAUUCUCUAUUAUUGAAGUUGAAGUUAAGCCGGAACUGUUAGUAAAACAGUUAGUAAUAGCUGAGGUUCUAUUAGCAAGUUAAUUGAAUGAUUAGGAGAAUUAGUUAUAUUCGGUUAGGUUGGCACGAAAGGUGGUUAAUUUUGGAACUUGUUUUGUAAUUGUUUUUGGUGGUUAGAGACCUAAUAUAUUGACUGGCAGCUUGGUAUGAUAUGUGCAGGUGUGGUUUAAUUUGUGUAUGAUGCUGAAAGUGGCAUAACGUGUUGUUUGGAUAUGAUUUACCAAUGUGUAGGAAUGCUGCAGGUUUACAGGGACUGAAAUGGUUUUAUCUGUUCGGUUUUGGUGAUUUUCUGAAUAGUUAUGGAUGCGAUGCCGUUAGUUCCCGUUGGUUAUGAAGUGCUGCAUGAAUUGAAGUGUUUGGAAGUUUGUCAGUAGGGUCAUAUAGUGCAAGGAAUUAGCUAGGAGAUCAUGGAGAGGCUAUAAGCUUGAUUCAAAGAAUUUAGCAUGAGGGAACAUUGGCAAGUGAUGAAAUUGAAGUGGAAUGGUAGAAUAGAACUGUCAGUAGCUGGAUUAGUUUAAGAUUAGUGCAUUUGUGCGACUUGAAUUGUCAUGUAUGUAUUGAUUUUUAUGGUGGAACUUGGAUAUUGUAAGGAAUUGGAUUGGAUAUGAAAAUGUAACACUGUAACUAGGAAUUAAUUGAAUUAUGGACAUGGUUCAUGAAAUUGUAAUGAAACGGUUUGGCAAUGAAAUGGUUCUUCUUUUUGUAACUAUUUGACAUGAUGUGAUGAAGUGAUAAGAUUUCUUUAAA